RNAcentral lists this unclassified non-coding RNA (427 nucleotides) under Hevea brasiliensis (rubber tree). The record is from RNAcentral. Lineage: Eukaryota; Viridiplantae; Streptophyta; Magnoliopsida; Malpighiales; Euphorbiaceae.
CUCUGGGUGUACUCCUCAACCUGAUCCGGCGGCGACACGUCAGGGUGGUACUUCCUGGCGAGCUGCUUAUAAGCCUGCUUUAUCUCAAUCAAGGUACCGGACUCAGUAAUUCCCAGCAGCUCAUAGAAGCUCAUGUCGGCGGCGAUUCUUUCCUGCACAGCAGCCUUCGUUUUGAACGACGCGCGUGGGAAACGUGUAACUGGCUUAAAGCGGAGAAUUGGGUCCGACUUGGACGUUACGGUGGGAGAGGCAACAGUGGAGGAGAAGCAGAAGCGAGAGGCAUCGCUUCCAGGGAUGAUUAAGCCAUAGCUACGCAUCUCUCUCUGUUUCUUUUAAGUGGGUUUGUGUAAAAGCUUUCUGUGGUUUCGCACACAGCUCUGUUGGAUUAGAAGAUGAUAUGAAGGGAGGAGAAAGGGAUAGCUCGAGC